RNAcentral lists this transfer RNA (64 nucleotides) under Cavia porcellus (domestic guinea pig). It matches the Rfam family "tRNA". Rfam says of the family: Transfer RNA (tRNA) molecules are approximately 80 nucleotides in length. Their secondary structure includes four short double-helical elements and three loops (D, anti-codon, and T loops). The record is from Rfam by way of RNAcentral. Lineage: Eukaryota; Metazoa; Chordata; Mammalia; Rodentia; Caviidae.
GGGGAUUUAGCUCAGUGGCUUAAGUGCCUGCCUGGCAAGCAUGAGGUUGAGAGUUCAAUCCCCA